Molecule: non-coding RNA, 440 nt
Organism: Stegodyphus mimosarum
Lineage: Eukaryota; Metazoa; Arthropoda; Arachnida; Araneae; Eresidae
Source: Rfam
UACCUUGUUGAUCCUGCCAGUAGUCAUAUGUAUAUCUGAAAGAUUAAGCCAUGGAUGCCUAAGUGAAUGCUGUAUUAUGGAGAACUGUGAACGGCUCAUUAAAUCAGUUAUGCUUCCUUGGAUUGUGCCUUACUACUUGAUAUAACUGUGGCAAUACUACAGCUAACACAUCCAGCAGAGCCCAACACAUCCAGCAGAGCUCCGUCCCUCUGGGGAUAACUGCUUUUAUUAGACCAAAACCAACUGGACCUUGUGUCCAUAUUAUGUAGUGAUUCCAUAUAACUUAUCGUACGGCUCGUCCUGGCAACAUACGUUUCAAGUGUCUAAAGCCUUAUCAACUGGUGAUAGUAGGUUAUGCACCUACCACAUUCAUAACAGGUGAUGGGAAAUCAGGGUUCGAUUCUGGAGAGAGAGCCUGAGAAAUUGCUAUUUUUCCAUUA